RNAcentral lists this ribosomal RNA (498 nucleotides) under uncultured bacterium. Its description in RNAcentral is "partial 16S ribosomal RNA". It matches the Rfam family "Bacterial small subunit ribosomal RNA", at positions 30 to 523 of the family's 1533-position model. The record is from RNAcentral.
AUUGAACGCUGGCGGCAUGCCUUACACAUGCAAGUCGAACGGUAACAGGUCUUCGGAUGCUGACGAGUGGCGAACGGGUGAGUAAUACAUCGGAACGUGCCUAGUAGUGGGGGAUAACUACUCGAAGGAGUGGCUAAUACCGCAUGAGAUCUACGGAUGAAAGCAGGGGAUCGCAAGACCUUGUGCUACUAGAGCGGCCGAUGGCAGAUUAGGUAGUUGGUGGGAUAAAAGCUUACCAAGCCGAGGAUCUGUAGCUGGUCUGAGAGGACGUUCAGCCACACUGGGACUGAGACACGGCCCAGACUCCUACGGGAGGCAGCAGUGGGGAAUUUUGGACAAUGGGCGCAAGCCUGAUCCAGCAAUGCCGCGUGCAGGAUGAAGGCCUUCGGGUUGUAAACUGCUUUUGUACGGAACGAAAAGCCCUGGGUUAAUACCCUGGGGUCAUGACGGUACCGUAAGAAUAAGCACCGGCUAACUACGUGCCAGCAGCCGCCGUAA